AUUGAACGCUGGCGGCAGGCCUACCACAUGCAAGUCGAACGGAGUGGCGGACGGGUGAGUAAUGUCUAGGAAUCUGCCUGGUAGAGGGGGAUACUGACCGUUAACGGGCGCUAAUACCGUAUACUCUCAUAUCUGCCUAGGUCGGAUUAGCUAGUGGGUGGGGUAAAGGCCAACCAAGGCGACGUACCGUAACUGGUCUGAGAGGAUGACCAGGCACACUGGAACUGAGACACGGUCCAGACUCCUACGGGAGGCAGCAGUGGGGAAUAUUGGACAAUGGGCGAAAGCCUGAUGCAGGCAUGCCGCGUGUGUGAAGAAGGUCUUCGGAUUGUAAAGCACUUUAAGUUGGGAGGCGUUACCAACAGAAUAAGCACCGGCUAACUCCGUGCCAGCAGCCGCGGUAAUAC
RNAcentral lists this ribosomal RNA (407 nucleotides) under uncultured bacterium. Its description in RNAcentral is "partial 16S ribosomal RNA". It matches the Rfam family "Bacterial small subunit ribosomal RNA", at positions 30 to 526 of the family's 1533-position model. The record is from RNAcentral.